GACGUAGGUGGCGACCGUUAUCCGGAAUCAUUGGGCGUAAAGGGUGCGUAGAUGGCAUGAUAAGUUAUUAGUGGGAAAUCGAGGCUCAACCUCGUGGAAGCUAGUAAUACUGUUUUGCUUGAGUACAGAAGAGGUUAACGGAACUCCAUGUGGAGCGGUAAAAUGCGUAGAUAUAUGGAAGAACACCAAUAACGGCGAAGGCAGUUAACUAUUCUGUUACUGACAUUGAGGCACGAAAGCGUGGGGAGCAAAACGG
Molecule: ribosomal RNA, 256 nt
Filed under: uncultured bacterium
Lineage: Bacteria
Description: partial 16S ribosomal RNA
Rfam family: Bacterial small subunit ribosomal RNA
Source: RNAcentral